CUAGUACUCCCUCCGGUCGAAAUUGCUUGCCUCAAAAAUAGAUGUAUCUAAAACUAAAAUACGUCUAAAUACAUUUAUUUUUGUGACAAGUAAUUUCGAACGGAGGGAGUAGUAC
This is a non-coding RNA of Triticum urartu, 115 nucleotides long. NCBI's taxonomy places the organism in Eukaryota, Viridiplantae, Streptophyta, Magnoliopsida, Poales, Poaceae. The record is from Rfam.